This 806-nucleotide long non-coding RNA is filed under the name Sus scrofa (pig). RNAcentral describes it as "lncRNA (ENSSSCG00060077763.1)". Lineage: Eukaryota; Metazoa; Chordata; Mammalia; Artiodactyla; Suidae. The record is from RNAcentral.
CCCCUUUUUGCUGCCUUUCCAGGGAGAGCAGCAAGAGAAAGAAAGAGAGAGGCAAGCGAAAUUCCUGAAUGGAUAGACAGAUGCUACGUCAUCCGGAGCUGCGUCCUCCACUCCACAAGAGGCUAGGAGCCGGGAGAAAGAGGCAGUCCAGCGGCAGGGGCCACCAGCGCAGGCUCUCCUCCUCACAGAAGCCGGGAGCUGGUCAUCCAAGAAGAAGCAGCCUCGUUUGUUUCGGGUGUCAUCGUAGGUGUCCACCUUUGGCUUUGGGGGAACAGCCAGGUCUUGCUUACUCCUGCCUUGGGAAGUCCUUCCCAAUGUCUAACCAAGAUCUGUACCGCUGAAGUACCAGUUCUUUGACCCUCGGCUUGACAUGGCUAAUUUGAGAGGCACAGGGAGGAACUGACCUUGAUUUGGCACCUGCUUGCUUGUUCCUGAAAACUGAGUGAUACUGUCGCCACUAUACAAAGACAAUCAGAGCCCCAAGUCACAGGACUGACCAAAAAGAAGAACCUACUUCACCCACUUGUCCUGGGUUCCCUCUGAGACGCUGUCUUGAUUGACUGAAAGAUGAGGCUAAACUCUAGCAAGUUGAGUGGCUCCUCCCAGAAUCCUUUAAGCAGGAUAGAAGUGGGGAGGCCCCAGCCUCCAGCCUGGGCAGCCCGUUAGACUGGAGCCGCCUGGCAAAGACUUUAUUUCAUCAUUGCUCCAGUGUCUGCAAGCUGUCCAUCCUGGCCAGCCCUGGUUUCCCCUGUGUCGUCUGAACUGAGAAUCUUCUGAGAUGGAAGUCCCAUCUCAUGCCUAAUAAA